Molecule: long non-coding RNA, 2424 nt
Organism: Prinia subflava (tawny-flanked prinia)
Lineage: Eukaryota; Metazoa; Chordata; Aves; Passeriformes; Cisticolidae
Exons: 3
Source: RefSeq, a predicted model, not a curated record
AUGAAGACUUCGUGGCGCUAGUGCUGCCUGGGGCUGUCUGGCGAGUCUAAUUAAAAACUUUGCACAUUUACAAAGUGUCAUAAAACUUCCCCAGAUGAAAGGUCCUCCGCGAAGGGCGGGACUGCGCUUUAAUGGAGCAACAACUGUCCGGCUUCAGCUGGACCUUGGAAGAGAUGGUGUUCAACUCUAGGCCAAAUGAAAACCAAUGGAGUCUGCAGUUACAUGCUGAUAAGAAGAGCCCACUGAUUGACUGAGUCUUGACUAUGAGAACUGAACAAAGAGAGCCUUAAAUAUGUAGCAGCUCCAGCCAAGAAAAUUAUUCAGACAAUACGGAAAUAAACUUCUGAUGUAGCUGAAUGGGGAGAAAAAUAAAACAUUCAUCGCAAUUCAAGAACUUGUCUAGUGUCUAAGGAUGUUUUCACAGGGCAGUGGCUGGCAGGGCAGCAGCCUGGGGCUGCUGCUGCUCAAACCUGCUCCAGAAGAAAGUGAGUGAUCCAAGACAGCAAUGCAGCUUCCAGCUCUGAGCGGUGCUGUGCUGUGUCAUAUGGACAUCAUAGCUCACCCAGCUUGGUCAAACAGCUUUCUCAGGAAGCUCCUCUUGCCAGAUGAGCCACAGCUUGAUAGAUAUCAGAAAUUUAAAUGGUUUGGUUCUUUAAAAACUGAUUGUCUUGAAUAAAAUCAGACCCAACUAUUCUGGCACUGAAAUAUUCCACAAGGAUAACUGUGUAUUACUAUCUGCAGUGUCUUUGUGCCGAGAAUGUGCUGUGUUAGUGCUACUACUAACUUCUAAAAUCCCAAGAGUUUAAAAUAAAAAUCAGGCUUUAUUAUCCCUUAAUGCAAUUUCAUUUAAGCUGCAGAUGAAUGAGACCCUUCUUGUCUUAUUCAGCCUCAAGCUGACAGCUAAACACCAAUCCAAGCCUUUUUUGUACAUGUGUGAUUGGAAUUCAGUACUUGCCUUUCAUCUUCCCUGCACUCCCCACAAAUUCUUCUCCCCUUACUCAGCUUCAGCUUCAACCCUCCAGUAUUCCCUUCUCCCCAGUCACCACUGCCCAGGACACCCUUGUUUCACACACCAAAUGGCCUGUCUAGCCCCAGUGAGCCAAUAUCUAAGCUGUCCAUCCCUCGGCUAUCCUGCAGCCUUUUCUGAUGUUUCCCAUGUAGGAACCAUCCCAGACCCAUUCCAGCCUGCCCACGUGCACUCCUCUGUGAUGUAUAUAGUUACAUGUGAAUUAUGUAAAUCGUGCACCUUUCUCGUUACCAGUUUCCUGAAAUGUAAUGCUCAAGACAAAACCAUCAGCUGUGGUCACUGCUGAUUAGAAAAGGAUUCCUGUUAAUUAGCACACACAUCUGAUCAGGCCAUUAACAAAAGCAUUGGGAAGCUACUAUGGAAGCUGAUUCAAGCUAUCAUCUAGGUAACUGCUGCUUUUUCCAGCACAAGGCUGUCACAUGAGCCCUUCUGAUCAUUUUCAUAUUCACAUUUGCUGUGCAUCUGUUCUAGCAUCUCCAAGCCCUGAUGUCUUGAAGGAACACGUGCUGAGGUACUUCCUGACUGGGGUCAGCUUCCAGUACUGGAACUCUGCUGGGUGCAGCUCAAGAUGUGAACCAAAUGCAGGCAUAAAACCAAUUUGGUUAAAUCUGACAUUUGGAAGGCAGUUCUCUAUUCUGGUGUGGAAAAAAUAAAUUUAGAUGACAUAUAAUUAGGAUUUUACAUCUCAUUGUCCUGUUUUCCUCAGCUUGUGCAAGAAACCAGGUUAGUCUGUUUAGUCGGUCCCAUGGAAUGUUGGGCUUUCAAAGUUUCACAGAACUAUGACAUUUCUACUGUUCUGCUGCUCUCUCUGAAGGAGGUCACAGGCAGAUGGCCACAGAGUAGUCAGCAACAGAUCCCAGGUGGUCAUGAAUGUAAGUUCCAACAUUACUUCCUCACUGCUUCAAAUGUCUAAUGUCAUUGGGACAUUUUAUACCUUUUGGCUAUCACAGCCUCCUCCAGCAGUGAAUUUCACAAGUGAUAUUGAUUGCACUAAGUUGUACAGGCACUUCUCCUGUUGCUUUUUCAGAGGAAAGUGUUCCUGCUCCUGCACCACCACGGUGCAUAGUAUCAGCCUUGCAAUUUAGCCUGCACAGGGAGUGCUGAAUGGAUUGUUUGAUGGCUGGGAGUACAAGACAUCCUCAUCUCCUUGCCUUGUGAAACUGCUCUGCACUAGGGCUAAUACUGAAAUGAAGACCCACUAGAGGGCAAGGCAUGCUCCAGGGCAAAUAUGAUUGAGGGUUACACUACCAAUAUAUUUUACUUACAAUUCUAUCACUAUGCUCAUACUAACCACAGCCUUUCAAUUAAUUGGUUCUUAGGACUUGAUAGACAAUAUUAAUGUAUUUCUGACAACAGCAUUUUCUCAAGUAGCAUUACUUGUUGCAGCCCAGCUUGGA